UCCUACGGGAGGCAGCAGUAAGGAAUAUUGCGCAAUGGGCGAAAGCCUGACGCAGCGACGCCGCGUGGGGGAUGAAGGUCUUCGGAUUGUAAACCCCUUUCGGGAGGGAAGAUGGGAUGGGGUAACCCAUUCGGACGGUACCUCCAGAAGCAGCCACGGCUAACUUCGUGCCAGCAGCCGCGGUAAU
Molecule: ribosomal RNA, 187 nt
Filed under: uncultured bacterium
Lineage: Bacteria
Description: partial 16S ribosomal RNA
Rfam family: Bacterial small subunit ribosomal RNA
Source: RNAcentral